Molecule: long non-coding RNA, 461 nt
Filed under: Cyanistes caeruleus (blue tit)
Lineage: Eukaryota; Metazoa; Chordata; Aves; Passeriformes; Paridae
Description: lncRNA (ENSCCEG00000015232.1)
Source: RNAcentral
GUUUUUUGUGUGCAAAUCCCUAAACAUACUUACUUAUUUUCUUUACAGCAGCAUAAGAAAGAAGUGUUGAGAACUGCUCUUAACCCUUUUGGAGGCCGAAGUCAAAAGGGAAAUAGAGGGCUUGACGCAUUCUUUACAUCCUGCAUUUACUCUGACCACAGUCCCUCCCUGUUCUCACAAGCGGAGCUCAGCCCUGCUUCCCUUCCUGUUGAUUCCCAGUCAGCUACAUGGUAAGUUUUCAUUACCUCUAGACUUGUUGCCAUGAGGUAAAACCCUGGCAGACUCUCUCUAAAAUCCAUUAGCACUGGGCAUUGAGGGCAGAGCACUUCAUACCCAUCAGAGAUCGUUCAGUUGUAUUCCAGGCUGACUGCAAGGAAGGGAAGAUAGUAUUGAAUUAGCAUUGGAGCUGAACUUCAGCAUAGAUUGUUAUAGGAAUAAAAUAUGAAGUAAAAUAUGUGACA